RNAcentral lists this unclassified non-coding RNA (577 nucleotides) under Hevea brasiliensis (rubber tree). The record is from RNAcentral. Lineage: Eukaryota; Viridiplantae; Streptophyta; Magnoliopsida; Malpighiales; Euphorbiaceae.
AAUGCAGAUACCAACAUCAAUGGUUCUGCCAGCACAAACAUUUGGUUGAAAGUAUAAUACACCUGGAACGGAGAGUUGUGCUCAGGAACUACAUUUUUCUUUUCCAGAACCAGCACUGUUCUCCCAACCACAUCAAGGUAUGAAUAUUUGGUCUCCAAGUGUUGCUCUACUGGAAAAGGAACCACAAUGGAAGGGUCUUUGGAUCCCUCUGGCAGCACAACUUUGAUGGUCAACUUGUCCACAACGAUCUCUGCAAGAGGACAGCCAAAGCUGAAGNNNNNUUGAGGUAACGCUUGCCAUCUGAAGACUCAAAAAGGAAAUCUUGCAAUGGUAGCCCAUACCCAAUAACAAAAGUAGCUUUCCAACCUCCAAAUAAAGGAUAUCGCGGUUCAAUUUCAAGUUCUGACUUUCGAUUAUCUGUACGUAAAUGAGAUGAUGAAAUGUUCCCUAUUUCAUCUCGAUAAUAGACAGAAUGCACCCUAGGUGGUAAUCUUGCCAGGAGGUGUUUGAAUGAAGAUACGCCACUAAAAGAUGGCCUAGAUUGAUAAUCAACCCUUGAAAACACGCCUUUGUGUCG